CCUAAGAGAUACGUGUUAUGUGAAGUGCUCACACAGAUUGUCUGAUGAAGAACGAGCAGAGAUACCGGUAUAGGCUUGUAGCUCAGGUGGUUAGAGCGCACCCCUGAUAAGGGUGAGGUCGGUGGUUCAAGUCCACUCAGGCCUACCACUUUUCCUUUAUGCUGUGUUGUGAAGCAACUCGUUUACAUUAAGUAAACUUCGUUACUCCACGCCUUGCCUAAAGAAAAAGCUUCUUAUUAUAAGAAGAAAAAGGAGUGGUUAUACGGGUAUUAAAACAUUAUGGGGCUAUAGCUCAGCUGGGAGAGCGCCUGCCUUGCACGCAGGAGGUCAGCGGUUCGAUCCCGCUUAGCUCCACCAUAAUCUCUUGAAUAUAAAACAAUGAUUCAGAGUAUAUUAGGAAUAGUAUACUGCGAAUUAUUAUGCUCUUUAACAAUCUGGAACAAGCUGAAAAAUUGAAAACAAAUCAAUAUAUCAACGAGGUAUAUUGGUGAGUCUCUCAAAAUCUCAAACCUUAAAGGUUGUCACGCAAAGUUUAUCUUUGAAAGAGACACUUUCGGGUUGUGA
This 564-nucleotide unclassified non-coding RNA is filed under the name Proteus mirabilis. RNAcentral's name for it is "partial 16S-23S ribosomal RNA intergenic spacer". The stretch from base 282 to 354 matches the Rfam family "tRNA". The record is from RNAcentral. Lineage: Bacteria; Pseudomonadati; Pseudomonadota; Gammaproteobacteria; Enterobacterales; Morganellaceae.